Long non-coding RNA from Phragmites australis (common reed), 1875 nucleotides. RefSeq lists it as uncharacterized. The transcript is spliced from 3 exons. The record is from RefSeq and is a predicted model, not a curated record. NCBI's taxonomy places the organism in Eukaryota, Viridiplantae, Streptophyta, Magnoliopsida, Poales, Poaceae.
UGCCUUCCCUGUUCGCUCCCCUUCCCUCGCCCGACCUCCCCAGUCUUCGCAACCGCCCGGCCCCAUCGCCCUCACCAAUCUCCCAUCCCUCCGAUGACGUCGGCGCACGAUGCCGGACCCCACGCCCCGCCGCUUCGAUGACUCACCGGCCUCGACGCGCUCCACACCACCGUCUCGACACGCCCCGCCGACCUCCGCGUGCCAUGCCUCCCUCCCCAAUCCGUUCACCCCAAUGACGGCCGUGGACUCUAGAGGCCAUCACCGCCGACAAGCCCUCCACCCGCCGCCUGCGCCUGUGCCGUGCCCCUUUGCACAGGCGUUUCUCCACUUGGAUCUUCCCAUUCCUCCUCCUCGUGAGCCUCGCCUUCCUCCUCUACCUAUCCGCCCCCGCUGCACGCGUCGCUGACCUCGGAUCCGACUCGUGCUCCGGUAGAAACUGCACCCCCGCGACCUGAAUCAAGUGGUUCCGGCGGCACCUUCCUCUUCUGCGAUUUUCGCUUCUCCCUAUGCGUUCUGCUCCCGCGAUUUGACCGGCUUGGGUUCCGCUUCCUCCGAUUCCUCCCGAGUCCGCUGGUGAUCUGGAGGGCAGAGGAGAAUGAGAUUUCCAAUAGGAUUCAAAUACAUUUUCGAUACGAUUAUCUGGUGUUGGAAUUUGAAUAUGGUGAAAUCAUUUUUUUAUUGGAAUAGCAUUCCCAUCUGAAACUCCAAAUUUAUCUUCUUUGGGCAGUUUGGAGCCCCUUGAACUUCUUGCAGAUCUGGGCUUGGUGUUGCCAAUUAGCCUGUGGCUGUGCUGUGUGUGUCUCUCUCCAUGAGACAGGGUAUUGAUUUAUAGAUGCAAAAUCCAAGUGAAUCUUGUUAGUUUCCGAAUGAACUGCAGGUUUGGUUGGCAUCGAUGGGGAAUCGAGGUACGCAUCGUGACACAUCUCCUAAUUUUAGUUACCUUGCCGAUUAAUUUGAAAUCGUGGCCUGUGCAACAUGUGAAUCUUGUUAGUUUUGGAGCUGCGGCAUAACUUGUAGCCUCAUGCCGUUCGGCGGCUGCGCCGACGUACACGUUCGAUGUUGCUGAGGUUGCAGUAGCAGCGCCGUUGUCUACGCCUGAUGCUGCCCUACUCGCUGGAUCUCCCACAUCCACUCCCGUUUCGUCAGUAUUUGCAUACAUGGAGCUAGAUCAAAUGCGCGUACCGCAACGUGCAACGACGCUCCUACAUAUCCUGGAUAAAGGGCAGCAGUGUUAGUCGAGGGUCGACGUGGUGGGUCGUCGACAAGGAGACGUGUGUGAGUCCACGCAGUGUACCAUUGCAGACACUGUUGGUCUUGUGCUCAUUGUAAGGCGCAGUAUACUCGAUCACGUCCAUAAGAGCCUGGCCGCACUGCUGCACUCAGGGUUGCAUCCUAUUGGUCAGGUCAACUAGGCUUUUUUGUGGCCCCUUCGUCGACAACCUAAAAUUGAGUUUGAAUUAGAGAAAUGGAAAACACAUAAUACAACAAGGAAGCUCACGAAUUCACAAAAGCAGGAACACGGUCUCCCAGCGGGACUGGGAACUCCUGGCGCUAGUUGAAAUGGCGCAUCACUCAGUGGACAGCGUAGGCCUCAAUGAAGAUGUCAAAAAGCAGCUUCUUCCUCGUCAUCCAAAAUGGUGAGUCCUUUUAGCACAGUGCGGAGAUCCCACGGCCUACGGAUCGUCGAAGAACCAAGUCGGGGGUGUAUGGCUCCCAAAUGACCAUAUCUGGCCUCAGGUGGUUGAACUGCUAUGUAAAAGCCUCGUAUGCAGCACAAACAUGCACUCCUACCCACUGCGGCUGCAAAAUUAUAGUUCAUUUAAAUUAGAAGUCACUUUUACACAUACGAAAUUUACAGUUAAUUUAAAUUUCGUA